Molecule: ribosomal RNA, 590 nt
Filed under: Polaromonas sp. RDB-155
Lineage: Bacteria; Pseudomonadati; Pseudomonadota; Betaproteobacteria; Burkholderiales; Comamonadaceae
Also listed under: 13 other names
Description: bacterial SSU rRNA
Rfam family: Bacterial small subunit ribosomal RNA
Source: RNAcentral
ACGGGUGAGUAAUAUAUCGGAACGUGCCCAAUCGUGGGGGAUAACGUAGAGAAAUUUACGCUAAUACCGCAUACGAUCUAAGGAUGAAAGCGGGGGAUCGCAAGACCUCGCGCGAUUGGAGCGGCUGAUAUCAGAUUAGGUUGUUGGUGAGGUAAAAGCUCACCAAGCCGACGAUCUGUAGCUGGUUUGAGAGAACGACCAGCCACACUGGGACUGAGACACGGCCCAGACUCCUACGGGAGGCAGCAGUGGGGAAUUUUGGACAAUGGGCGAAAGCCUGAUCCAGCAAUGCCGCGUGCAGGAAGAAGGCCUUCGGGUUGUAAACUGCUUUUGUACGGAACGAAACGGCUCUUUCUAAUAAAGAGGGCUAAUGACGGUACCGUAAGAAUAAGCACCGGCUAACUACGUGCCAGCAGCCGCGGUAAUACGUAGGGUGCGAGCGUUAAUCGGAAUUACUGGGCGUAAAGCGUGCGCAGGCGGUUAUAUAAGACAGUUGUGAAAUCCCCGGGCUCAACCUGGGAAUUGCAUCUGUGACUGUAUAGCUAGAGUACGGUAGAGGGGGAUGGAAUUCCGCGUGUAGCAGUGAAAUG